Molecule: ribosomal RNA, 80 nt
Filed under: uncultured bacterium
Lineage: Bacteria
Description: partial 16S ribosomal RNA
Source: RNAcentral
CAUGGGAGUGGGCUGCACCAGAAGCAAGUAGGCUAACCGCGAGGAAGCCGCUUACCACGGUGUGAUUCAUGACUGGGCUG